Molecule: ribosomal RNA, 360 nt
Filed under: Triticum aestivum (bread wheat)
Lineage: Eukaryota; Viridiplantae; Streptophyta; Magnoliopsida; Poales; Poaceae
Description: partial small subunit ribosomal RNA
Source: RNAcentral
AUGGCGAAGUAUUGCUGGGGAAGUUCCAUUGACAAGCGUUACCUCCAUUGGCUCUCUUGGGAUAAACUCGAGGUGCCGAAAGUGAAGGGCGGCAUGGGUUCUUGCAAUAUGCAGUUGGUCAACUUAGCGAUGAUUGGAAAACAUGGCUGGCGCCUUCUUACAAGACCGGAUUCUUUAUGUGCCAGGGUACUGAAGGGCAAAUAUUAUCCUCACACGGAUUUUCUCAAUGCUCCUGUUCCGGCUAGAGCUUCGGCAACCUGGAAGGCAAUUGUAGCAGGGCGAGAUGCACUCAAUGUUGGCCUCAUCCGUCGAGUUGGUGAUGGCUCAACCAUUUCAACAUGGACUGACAGUUGGAUUCCG